RNAcentral lists this ribosomal RNA (199 nucleotides) under Salmonella enterica. RNAcentral describes it as "partial 16S ribosomal RNA". It matches the Rfam family "Bacterial small subunit ribosomal RNA", at positions 1 to 207 of the family's 1533-position model. Lineage: Bacteria; Pseudomonadati; Pseudomonadota; Gammaproteobacteria; Enterobacterales; Enterobacteriaceae. The record is from RNAcentral.
AAAUUGAAGAGUUUGAUCAUGGCUCAGAUUGAACGCUGGCGGCAGGCCUAACACAUGCAAGUCGAACGGUAACAGGAAGCAGCUUGCUGUUUCGCUGACGAGUGGCGGACGGGUGAGUAAUGUCUGGGAAACUGCCUGAUGGAGGGGGAUAACUACUGGAAACGGUGGCUAAUACCGCAUAACGUCGCAAGACCAAAGA